AGCGAACGCUGGCGGCAGGCUUAACACAUGCAAGUCGAGCGGGCAUCUUCGGAUGUCAGCGGCAGACGGGUGAGUAACACGUGGGAACGUACCCUUCGGUUCGGAACAACUCUGGGAAACUGGAGCUAAUACCGGAUACGCCCUUAUGGGGAAAGGUUUACUGCCGAAGGAUCGGCCCGCGUCUGAUUAGCUAGUUGGUGGGGUAACGGCCUACCAAGGCGACGAUCAGUAGCUGGUCUGAGAGGAUGAUCAGCCACACUGGGACUGAGACACGGCCCAGACUCCUACGGGAGGCAGCAGUGGGGAAUAUUGGACAAUGGGCGCAAGCCUGAGCCAGCCAUGCCGCGUGAGUGAUGAAGGCCUUAGGGUUGUAAAGCUCUUUUGUCCGGGACGAUAAUGACGGUACCGGAAGAAUAAGCCCCGGCUAACUUCGUG
RNAcentral lists this ribosomal RNA (435 nucleotides) under uncultured bacterium. Its description in RNAcentral is "partial 16S ribosomal RNA". It matches the Rfam family "Bacterial small subunit ribosomal RNA", at positions 29 to 507 of the family's 1533-position model. The record is from RNAcentral.